This 614-nucleotide long non-coding RNA is filed under the name Equus caballus (horse). RNAcentral describes it as "lncRNA (ENSECAG00000031339.3)". The record is from RNAcentral. Lineage: Eukaryota; Metazoa; Chordata; Mammalia; Perissodactyla; Equidae.
AGCUGUGCAAGCUGCGGGAGCCAAGCAGUGCAGCCCUGUGCAAUGCAAACACUGAUGAUAAGGGCGCCCUGGAACCGGGCAGAGAACACCUUCGUCCCCGCGGUCUCUUCUGCGCCCUCUGCUGACCACGCUUAACAUCGCGUCAGCCUACGAAGACAGUUACCAAGCCCAUCUGCAUUAUCACAGAACAGGCGAUGAUGAAUGGAUUUGGCGCUGACAGGCAAUAAAUUGAUAAUUGGCACCCUCACAGAUGUUCGUAGGAAUGAAAAGCAAAGCAGAUGGUAAAUAAAUCGGUGUCAGCGUAGAAUGAAGGGAGCAGUGAACAACAACGAGCAAGUCAUCAAAACAAGCAACUACAUAUAUGUAACAGGCAUGUAUUUCGGGCUAGCACAAACAAAGAGAUAAUCUAUUGGAAUGUCAUUCAGAUCCCAGCUGAAGUCUGGCCUCUGCCAAACCAGAUAGAUGCAGAAAAAGGACGGGAGACUACUGCAAGUUCAACUACGUAGUGACCUCAAUUUAAGCCUGUGUGCCAGCUAUGAAGAGGUCAUGUGAACACACAGCGAGACAGUGGCCCCCUACAAGCCAGGAGGCCUCACAAUGAAACCUACUUUGCU